RNAcentral lists this ribosomal RNA (573 nucleotides) under uncultured bacterium. RNAcentral's name for it is "partial 16S ribosomal RNA". It matches the Rfam family "Bacterial small subunit ribosomal RNA", at positions 355 to 920 of the family's 1533-position model. The record is from RNAcentral.
UGGGGAAUUUUGGACAAUGGGCGAAAGCCUGAUCCAGCAAUGCCGCGUGUGUGAAGAAGGCCUUCGGGUUGUAAAGCACUUUUGUCCGGAAAGAAAUCCUUGGCUCUAAUACAGUCGGGGGAUGACGGUACCGGAAGAAUAAGCACCGGCUAACUACGUGCCAGCAGCCGCGGUAAUACGUAGGGUGCAAGCGUUAAUCGGAAUUACUGGGCGUAAAGCGUGCGCAGGCGGUUUGCUAAGACCGAUGUGAAAUCCCCGGGCUCAACCUGGGAACUGCAUUGGUGACUGGCAGGCUAGAGUAUGGCAGAGGGGGGUAGAAUUCCACGUGUAGCAGUGAAAUGCGUAGAGAUGUGGAGGAAUACCGAUGGCGAAGGCAGCCCCCUGGGCCAAUACUGACGCUCAUGCACGAAAGCGUGGGGGAGCAAACAGGAUUAGAUACCCUGGUAGUCCACGCCCUAAACGAUGUCAACUAGUUGUUGGGGAUUCAUUUCCUUAGUAACGUAGCUAACGCGUGAAGUUGACCGCCUGGGGAGUACGGUCGCAAGAUUAAAACUCAAAGGAAUUGACGGGGAU